GGUUUUGGUGAUAAUUUCCCAGGUAGUCUGGUGUUAGCUGCUGGUUUUAUUCCCGCCUGAAUUUUACAAUAUAACAAUGUAAGCACAUGAGAUAUAACUACGAGACAUCUGUAAAACAGGCACAGAUUUAUGUGGGAGUCUCUUUCUUUCAAUGCCACAUGACACUGUAAAUCACACGUUUGAAGCUUCACAUCACAAUAAAUUAAACCUUUCUUACUGUUGAAGGUUAUGCGGAUUCUGGAGUCAAGCCUACGACCUGUAGGAACCUGCUGCACUGCUACAUAUUGGAUCGCACAACGAUGCACUUGACCUGCAUGCUUUUACAAGGUGCCCUGUGAGCUCUCGUCCAAGCACCGCAUUGCAGAGGUCUGCUGUGAGCAGACGUGGCAAAUUGAAGUAACAUACAGAUAGUCCAAUAAAAUACUCGUAAUUUCAGACAAAC
Molecule: long non-coding RNA, 442 nt
Filed under: Dermacentor andersoni
Lineage: Eukaryota; Metazoa; Arthropoda; Arachnida; Ixodida; Ixodidae
Description: uncharacterized LOC126529949
Source: RNAcentral